AUGCUGCUCGUCCUUCAAAUUCUUUUCGAAACCGCCCCAGCAGCGUCGUCGAUCGCGCCGAAGACGUUCGAGAGUCGGGUGUCGCUCAAGUCGCCUCCCCAUCCCGCUCCCGCACUAGUCAGACAGACCUGCGCUAUCCGCCAGCCCGCCCGUGAGAGACGUUUAGCGAGGAGCGGCAGGUACGGGACGCUGCAGAGGGUGUCGUUCAACCCGGCAACGAAGAGGACGAGGGGAGUUGAUGAGGAGGUGGGAGGGCCGAAUUCGAAGGCCGUGAGGGGCUUGGGAGAGAUCAGGUGUAGCUGGCCGGGGAUAGGGU
RNAcentral lists this unclassified non-coding RNA (316 nucleotides) under Rhodotorula toruloides. Lineage: Eukaryota; Fungi; Basidiomycota; Microbotryomycetes; Sporidiobolales; Sporidiobolaceae. The record is from RNAcentral.